Equus caballus (horse) is the source of this 16781-nucleotide non-coding RNA. NCBI's taxonomy places the organism in Eukaryota, Metazoa, Chordata, Mammalia, Perissodactyla, Equidae. The record is from RefSeq and is a predicted model, not a curated record.
GUGCUUAGGUCAUGAAUGGGGAGUCCUCAUGAAUGGGAUUAGUGCCCUUAUAAAAGAGACCCCCCCAGACCUCCCUUGUCCUUUCUACCAUGCGAGGACACAGCAAAGUCAUUGGCUAUGAACCAGAAAGAGGGCCCUCACCUGACCAUGCUAGUGUCUUGAUCUGGACUUCCCAGCCUCUAGAAUUGUGAGAAAUAAAUUUCUGUUGUUUAUAAACUACCCAAUCUAAGACGCUGAUGAACAAUCCUAUUGACCCACUUGAGAAAUAUUAUCCAGACUUUUGUUGACAUUGCCAUUCAGACUUUUUGGUGCACUAACAGCUGAGGCCAGGGAGGAAUUUUAAGAUCCCAGAAAUUAGUUCUGAUUCUGUGGACCCAGUAUUAAUAACAUGGAAUUCUUAUCAGCAAAGAAAGAGAAGCACUCAUUCAACAGUUGUACUGAGUACCUGUUAAGGGAGAGGCACUAUUCCAGUGAUGAGGAAGAUUCUCGAAAGUCCCUACCCUUAGGGAGCUUAUAGCCUAGUGGGGAGACAGACACUGAUAUAAUAAAAUGCCAAAUAAUGAUAAGUGCAAUGAAGAAAAAUAAAGCUGAGUGAAAAGAGUAACAUGGGGUGCUACUUUGUCUGAAGAUCAGAUCAGAGAUGACACUGCAACAAAGUGAGAGCACCAGCCAUGUGCAGAUCUGGGGGAAGAGCAGAAAGGCAAAGGACUUGGGGUGAGAACAAGCUUGGUGCAUUCACAUCAGUGUGGCUACAGCAGCAAGUGGUGGGUGAUGAGGUUGGAAGGGUGGGCGGGGGCAGAUACUGUAGGGCCGCGUAGUCCAUGCCAAGGAGUUGGGGUUGUAUCCUAAAUGUGGUGGGAGCCACUGGAGGAGCCAUUGGCGGUGGCAGCAGUGAUAUCAAUUUUAAAGUUUUAUAAGAUCUCUGGUUUCUGUGUGGAACAUAGACAGAAUGGCGAACUAGAAGCUGAAUGAUUGGGUAGGCGUUCACGAAAGCUUGUCCUCUGGUGGUAGCGGUGGAGGUGGUGUGAGCCAUGGACGGAUUUGGGAUAUAUUUUGAAGGGUAAUGCACUGGAUUGGAGACCAAGGGGAAGAGAGUUUCAAUAAAAGGGUAGGAACUAAUAGUAAGAAUCCUCAGAAAUAGGGAGAGUGAAGACUGAGAAAAAGGCCUGGAAUUGGACAAUAAGUCAGCUGCUAUUCUUACAUAGAAAUAAGAAUAUCAAGAGUGAGCUUUGUGAGAAGUGCAGGUAGAGUGUUGGGGAGGAAGCUGGACAGCAGAGAAGUGAGGGAGGGAGUGUGUGGUGAGGAAGGUCAGGCGACAGACCCAAGCUGGCCCCUUUCAAAGUCCUGGCCUCACUGUGGCCAUGCGGCUCGCUCUGUCAUCAGCUAUAGGUCUGAAUACAGAGGGAGAUUCACUUUUCAUCUUCUAAACUCUUUAAGGAACAUCCAUUUACUUCUGUCUCCCUACCCGAUAGGGAAUAGCCUGAGACUCAAAACGUUAUAACAAGGGCAGAAACUGUACUUUUAAUAUUCAGAGAGGAUGACCUUAUUUAUUUAAAUGUAAAUCACAAAUCAAAGUUUAUGCAUGAUUAUCUUUGGGGACAUUGGUCUCUAUCAUUCCCCAUCUCUUGGAAAUGGCUGUUCCAAAUUAAUUAAACUCUCAAGGGAGCAGAGGAUUCAUGUAGAAGGCUGAUAAUUGAAUUAAUAGCUCCCUAGACCUUGUGAUACAUUUUUCACAAAGGAAACCAAAAUAAGUUACGUCAGCAAUUCUGUUGGUUUGAUCAUUUCAAAGGGAUUGGUGUUUUCCUUUUGGGUUCACCUGCCACCAGGGGAUUUGUCAACAUGUUUCAAAGCAAUUGAGUGAGUUGCCGUGAUUGGUAAAAACAUAUACAGGAGCUGCAGGACUUGGCACUUACGUAAAUAGAGUCAUUUAGCUUCCUCUUGGAGAAUAAGCAAGGUCGUAAUAAGGGGAUUGAAGGUAAAUUUGGUGAGAAGCGUUCACAGAUUUCAAUAAAAGGAUUUUGCCUUCCUUUUCUCAUCCUUUUUACUCUGUGCAGAUAAGCAAUUAGAAAACACUACUGUAUGCUCAGGACCGUGUGGUGCUUACAGAAUCAUAGUCCCUGGGAUCAGCAAGGGAAGAGCUGGUUGGGUGAACAAGAUGAGCACAUAAGAAUCAAUGAUAAACAGUCUAAGGUCGUAUAUAAGGAAGGGCUAAACCAUGUGCAACAGAAUAUGUUAAAGAAUGUUCCGAUCGCAUGGAAUUGUUUAUCGUUCCCUGAGAAUACUAGGCCUUUUUCAGGUUUAUGGAAGGUCAAUUAAAUAUUUUAUAAUUAAGAGAGCCAUAAUUAUAUAGAUUCCAUGCCCUCACACCUCAUCUUUUUAUUUUCCAGAAAAUUAAGUCCAAACACCUUAGCUUGGCAUCCAAAUAAUGGCUGAAGACUUUUUUGGGGUGUAAAGGCUAGGAAAGACAACUCAAACUGACUUUGGCAGAAAAGGAAAUUCAUCAGUCAUCUAACCAGUCCGGUGGCAGGGUGGGGCGUCUACUUUCAUGCAUGACUUCAUCUAGGAGCUCAGUUUCUCCCCCAGCUCUCAGUGAAGCCUUCUCCUGCAUUGCCUUCAGGCUCAGACUCUACAUGUUAGCUCCUGGCAACCCCAGGCUCACAUUCCCAACAGACAAAGAGCAUGAGGUUCUUCCCUCAGAGGCCCAGCAGAAGGUUCAUUGCAUCUCUUGGUUCUGAUUGGAUCAAAUGUCUGUCUCUGAACCAAUGACUAUAGUCAACAGGAGGCGAUGCUCUGAUUCGCCAGACCUUAUUAACAUGGCUUCCCGUGGAUAUUCUUUCACUGUCUUUAGGACAGCAAACCAGCACACUUUAAGCAGAAGAUUCCUCAGUUAGGCCUUGUAUCUCCAGCUUCGUCUCUUGCUAUUCCGUGUUCAGCCCCCAGUGUUCCAAUCCCAAGGAAUUAAUUCCUGUCCCCUAAGAACCCCAGGUCGUUUUCAGGAUUAUGAUCUCGUGUCUAUGCAGUUCCCACUGCCUGUGAUGUCAUUUCCUCUCUUCAGAAAAACUCAGUCUCAUUGUUCAAGAUCCAGCUCCUGCCUGACCUGAGCUGAUGAAGGGUCCUCCAAGAAGUGUGAUAAAGAACAUACAUCAGAUGUUGGGUAUAAACCCUCUUCAGUGAGAGUAGUCAUCAGCUCCGUCCUCACCCCAGAGGUGUCCAGACAGAUCAGCUCACUUUGUCAGCUCAGAACUUCAGGGAGCUAUAGGACCCCAGUGAAGAUAUGAAGUUAUCACAAGCUAACAACUGUAACAUCUGUUAACACGAGAUAAAAUAAGAGUUGGCAAGGGCCGCUGAUUAUUUUGCUAGUGGGAGGGUUAAACUUCUGCUGAUUAACGCACUGGGGGUCCUGUGUGGCACGGUGCUUACAUAAUUAUGUCAUUGGUCUUGAAAUGAGCAUCUUACUUUCAGAGAUGCUUCAAAGGCAAUUGUUUUACUUUGUCCUGGAACCUGAGACCCUCACAAAGACAGCUGGGCCCACCUGUUGUCAGCAAACGUGUCUUUUAGGAAUUCCCCAAGUAUCACAUCCAGAUGUAUAACAAAGGGCUGUACGUGGGAAAUCAUUUAUGCUGUGGGUGUGAGUAGAGGGUCACAAACUCAAGAGUACGGGAGAGAUCAUAUUUAUUUAUUUCUCCGUUAACAAUUUAAUUCUGACUUUGCGAUACAUCACGUUUUGCUGGGCUGUAACCUCAGCUAUCUGUGGGGCUCCCUUCACUGUGGUUUUGCUAAGGUUCUAGGAGUCAGGAUGGCCCCCCUGGCGUCAAACAUCUGUCCCUAUAUUAUCCCAGCCCAUGCCAUCAAUACACUGAUUGGUGUCUUUGGUUUGACACUGGGCACACGAGAAAUUGUGUCAAGGCUGGGAGACCUGGGGCCUUGAUUUCUCCAAGGUUCUGCCACAUCUUCUUGGUACCGCCCGGGACUAACUCUUAGAUUCCAGGAACGACACAGCCCUCUCCUCCUUCCAGCCUAUUUGUGUUUACCCUUGGAAUAUCUUUCCCUUUCUCCCUCUUUCCAUCAGAAGCAUGCACCUAGACUCCUCCUUCUUCUGACCCUGGAGAACCUAUUUUUAUCUUGGGAAAUCCUUCUCUUUUCUCAUUUCUUCCUUACAAGUACCUCCAUCUCCUUAUACCCGUUACUCUCAAUGGGCUUUUACUUCUGCAAACAAAAGCCAAGAAGGAAAGUUUCCAUAGGCGAUCUUUGUUUCUUUCCCUGAAGGGGAAGAGAAAAUAGAAUAUGUGGGGUGAAAAUUAUAAAUUGCUAUCACAAAAAAAUUAUCCUAGCAUAGACACGUGUAUAUUCUCAAAGGCAGGUGCCUGAUUAAUUCAUUUUUGCACUGAGCAGAAAAACAAAACACUAGACAAAAGAACCUGCAAAUCUUAUGCAGUGAGUGAUUUAUGAACUUAUCAGUGUCCAAGGUAAAAGAGAAACUAUGUUUAAUGUGUCAAUGGGGAAAGAGCGAAGAGAGGACCAGCUUCCCAGAAAUCUUUCAAGGAACCUAUAAUUGUUAUGCUUCCACUUCCAAAUUGUACGAUUUUACCCAUAUGAUCGUAUAUAUGAAAUUUAGUGAUUUCUGUAGUCAUCAUCUCUAUUAGCACUGGCCAAAUCAUCUACGUUAUAGUGGUUUUCAUAGAGGUCCGUAUUUAUAAACACAAACAACAGAACUAAUAGCCCUUCUUGAGACCUCUGCAUUGGACAUGAGUGACCACUCUUUUUUGAAACUCUCUUCUCCCUUGGAUUCCUUAGAAGCACUGUUUCAUGCUUUCUUCCUGCCUUUCUGAUCUUCCCUCCUUGAAAUCCUUCAUGAGGGUUUUUCCUUUAUUCGCAUCUGAGUAGUUACCGGUGUGCAAUUCCAGGCUUCCACUCUUGGUCCUCUGUUCCUCUCUCAAGAUGAUCUCACUCACUCUCCAGUUUUAACUGCCAGUCUGCUAAUGACUCAUCCCUGCCCCACUGAGCUUUGGACCCUUACAUCCAAAUGCAUGCUGAACACCCCCAUUUGAAUGUCCCAUUGCACCUCAAACUCAACAUUUCCAAAGCGGAAUGCCUCAACUUCUAUCCCACUAACUUGUACCCCUCUUCAUGGUUCCUUUUAUCAUUCACAGUUGCAAUUCCCACCCCGGCUCCUUAAUCUUGACCAGUCCACCCAGGCACACAAAAUGGAUACCUAUUCUCAGUAGUUGCAACAGCUUCUCCAGAUUUACUUCUCAUCUCCUUGUCAUUACUCUCAUCUAACUGGCUCUGGGACUCCAGGUUCGAUUGCGCUCUUUGCUUCUGACUCUGCCAGUUUAGUAAUCUUUGGUCUUCCCUUUUGCUUCUUGGACUUCAACUUCCCUUUUAAUACUUGACUCUGUUCUGUCUCUCUAAUUAUAUUGUCCAUGCAAUCUUGGAAGAAAACUCCCUCAACCGGUCAGGCUAACUUUCUAGGCUGCCUUCCACUGGUGAAGGAUGAGCCAGACUCCUGACUUCCAGACUUUCCUUGACGUCCUCACAUGGGGUUAACCACUAAGCCAUCACUGAACCUGUUCUGGACUCUCCUUUACAUCCCUCUGACAUUGCCUUGGCUUAAGCCCUCAUCCAGUCUUCCCUGGAUUCUUCAAACAGCUUCCACGUGUUCUCCAGUCUCCUAUUUUGUUCCCCACAUGGCAGCCAGAAUGAUUGUUUGAAAAUGCACUGCUGAUCAUUCCUUUGCUUAAAACUCAUCAGCAAAUAUUUGCAACCCUGAUAUCUCAUCAGAAAAAAAAAAUCCAUGAAACGUUUUAAAUAUAUUGAUUUUGGCUUCCACUCCAGAGACGCUAAUUCAGUGGAUCUGAGAUAGAGCUUUGGCAUCAGUGUGCUGCAAGAGCUCCCCAGGAGGUUCUAAUGUGCGGCUUCCUUAGCUUGGCCCCCAAGUCCACCAUGGCCUACCUCCACCCACAGUUCCAUCUCACCUCCUGCUCCAGGAGAGCUGGAGGGUAUCUCUUACCUUUCUCUAUCCUGGGGUCUGUUACAGUCUUGAUGUUCAUUGACCUUAACUGGACAACUGCAGGAUGACAGCAAGUAUUAUCAAACAGCCAGAGCUGGUUUGAGGUCAUUAAGUACCCUGGAGUUGCAGUUUAAAGAAUUCCUUUGUAAUUAUUCACACUAUACUUCAGUGUAUUCCUCUUCUUAAUUCCAUGUUCAGGGCUGUUUCUGUAAAGUACUAGACAAACAAUUCCUCACCCUGCUUCGUAUUUGCACCUUUAAAGUAUUUAGAGACUGCUUUUAUAUCCUCACUUAGUCGUCACUUAACCAAGCAGUAUGCGUUUUGCUUCCACACUAUUAAUUUUGAAAUUCAUUCCUCUAUAAGGUGAUAACUUUUCAUGCAACAUUCCAUUCUUUUAUGUAGUUCUUAAAUUGUGGUUUUUCUGCUUCAAAGAACUAGAUUGUAAGCCAAUUGAAAAUAGCAAUUAUGACUUAACAAUUAUGACUUCAGAUUCAUCGUUACCCCUCCCAUGCUUGACACAGAACUGGGCGUAAAAUUUAGGGAGGGGAAGGAAGUAUGGAUUUGCCAAGACUACACAGGGACCACAGAUUCUGACUCCCCUUUCUGUUGUUCUUUUGUCCUGUUAACCUGUGUUUAAGAUGCUCAUAACUCCUACCACCAGGUGUUUUAGGUAUCAGUAUUUCUCUGAUUGAACCGUAAAUAAGCUUAUUCAAGAUGCAUUAUUCUUUGGUAAGAAAGAAAACCUAGGAGAAAAUGGAAUAUUUUGUAUUCUUUUACAUCUCUGGAAAAAGAUUGAUCAUAUCAUAUAACUUGAUGAGAAUUUACUGAAAAUCCAAAUGAUGCUUCUAUCAAGCAGUGUAAAUUGUCAUUCUGGAUCUGUAUUACAAGAAGCUGUAUUUGGCUGCAAUCCAAUGAAAUGUACCAAAAUGCAAUUUCCAAAGCAUUCAGAACUGUACCCUUCAUUUGAUUCUGUGCAUGCCCAUGUAGUUGCUAGAAAAUAUUCAUUAAUUUCUAUUACUGAGUGAAAUAAUUCAGAACCCACUUCAAUAAGUCCUUGAUGAUUCAUAGACAGCCUCCCCACUGACAGCUUCCUCAAGUGUCCAGUUCUGUUCUAAACACAGGUUUAAGUGGAAAUGGUCUUUCCCAGAGAGAGUAGCCCUUGAGCCCGGCAACAGUGAAAGCCACAAAACACCUAAAUUUCAGACAGAGAAGACUGUCAUUAGUUAUUAGGCAUAUUAUAAAGAAAAAGCCCUGUGUCAGUGGAGGAAUGCGUCAAGACCAGGCUAGCCAUUGAAAGCUGAGGAUCAUGGGAGGAUCAUGGGAGAAUCCUGGAUAUCCAAAGAGACAAGAAAGAAGAGAGUGGUGAAUAUUAAAAGCAGCAGGGAUAACAAGCCGUGGAAAUCAUAAAUUUGUUAUAGAUGUUGGGAUGGAAGCCAUGGAAAGACAGAAAAGAGAAUAGUUAUGUCAUCGGAAAGUGAGAAUCAAGUGGCACCAACACACCUUAGCGACCCCUGGAGCCAGCUACGUGUGCUCAUUAGCACAGUUAGUGUAGCUCUGCCACCUAGAGAGACCAUCACUCUACCUGCAGGACCAUUGACGAGCUGCAUCAUCUUCCUGUGGCCCACACCAUCCAUACCUUCGUCUGUAGCCUUAGCUCCAUGGAGGGCAUAGUAAACAGUUCAUAAUCAUAAAGAUGACCCAAAGGCAAAUCAAGAUAAAAAUGGCAUUUACUUUUCUCUGUUUCAGAAGCCGCAGAUGCAUAUAGUACAUUUUUGAAGAUUUCUAAUUCUUAAAACAUUUAGUAUAGACCCUCAAAGAAAACGAAACACAAAUGUACGAAGUUUCUAAUGAAACUGGGCGACACCUGUAACCCCAAGGUACAAAAUAAUGAAAAUGGAAAGCAGAUGGAUGUGAGAGGACAGUAAUAUCAAAUUUUGACUAAUUCACGUAUCUUUCAAUGGUUGAUGCAGACCAUGUGCCUAGGAAUACCUGUGAUUUCAUCUCCAGGCCAACUUGAAAUUUUUUUCCCAAGUACAAUUUUCCAGACCAUUACAUUGAGUCUUCUCCUAAAGUAGGAAUAAAUAAUUGGCUCUUUCUCAAUAUCAAUUAAAGCUAUUCUGUCAGGGGAAGCUAUUGAUCCAAUCUUCUGUGAUCUGAUCUUGCUCAAGAAACAGGAAACAUAACUUUUAACCUCUGGCUUCUCACAUGUUUCCCCCCAGUGCCAGCCUCAAGUUUUUUAUUUAAUUUAAUACUUUUACACGGAAGAUAAGAUGCCCCUAUCGUUUACUUCCCCUAUACAGCCUGUCCUGUUUUUUUUUCAGAAUGGUGAUAAAUUAAGCUUGCAUUCACACAAAAACUCUUUCACUAAUUCCUUUCAAGUCAAUUCAUUUAUAAUAUAACACACCAAAAAGUACUCAAAGAAUGUCAAUACUGGGCAAUAGCAUUAAGCUUAAAUGACCAUUAAUUUCAUCCUUUUUCUCCUAUCUUUUUUCCUUGAUAUCAAUAUCAUGAACUGUUUAAUCCCCCAACUCUGCUUAACCUUUUUAUACGUUGCGGAAGAUGCUUCUGUCACUCAGGAUGUGAGGCUAAAAAGGAAUUCUAACGGUUGAACCCUUGCAGCUUCUUUAAUGAGCCUGGCUGAUCUUUAACCCAAGAAAUUGGUGGUCCAUCUGUUCGAGAGGAGCUUGACUCCUGCAAUCGUUUGGCUCACAUCACAGAAGGCGUUUCAACACACAUCCUCCAUCUGGUCAGUGCUGCUUGCUCAUCUGAAAAGAGACUUGGGGAUGUGGGGGAGAGCGAUGUUUCCAGUUAACAGUAAUUAUUUCUAAAAGCUCUCAGCUUCCUUCCACGUUUCGUCCUCCUUCUGACACUUGCAUUUCCUGAGGAGGACAUUCAGAAAAUGAGCUUAUCAGUAGAAUCUUUAGACUGUUUAUAAGAAAGAUGUUUCCUCAGUUAGGCAACCUUGGUUUUGCUUUUUGGUUUUCUGUUUGUCACUUCUUCUACUCAAUUGUUGUGGGUUCCAACCCCAAUCAUUUGAUUUUCCUAGGUACAUUGCCCAUAUCUGAAGUAUGUGUGAUGAAAUGGUGAUCUCACUAAGCCCGCAUCUGAACUAACCCAACCUCUCUAACUGUUUUAUCUGUCUUGAUGAUCGAUAAAGGUUGUGCACGUCAAUCCAUGAUACAUCUGUCUGUUAAUCAAAGACAGAUUUAAUUAACAAAUCUUAUUUUUUUAUUAAUGUGGAUAAAAUUGUUAGAUUCCCUGCUUCAUGGAUGUGAUCAUUUUGAAGCUCAGAUAAUCAUAUACAGAUAAAGGAUUAUCAUCAAGGAUACUCCUUUUGCUAACUUAAAUUAAGAUGGCACUCUCAAAAUGUGGUAUGUGUUUACAAUGGAAUAUUAUCCAGCUUUAACAAAGGACAUCCUACCAUUUGCAAAAACAUGGAUGAACCUGAAAGACGUUGUGCUAAGUGAAAUAAACUGGACACAGAAAGACAAAUACUGCGUGAUCUCAUUUAUAGGUGAAAUCUAAAAUAGAUUCAUGGAAGCAGGGAACAGAAUGGUGGUUGCCAGGGUUGAGAGGUGGGAGAAAUAGAGAGAUAUUAGUCAAAGAAUAAUAUAAAGCUGCAUUUAUGCAAGAAGAAUAAGUUCUGGAGAUCUAAUGUACAACAUGGUGACUAUAGUUAACGAUACCAUAUUAUAUAUUUGAAAUUUGCUAAGAGGGUAGGUUGUAAGUGUUCUCACCACAAAAAAAAGAAAGAGAAGGAAAGAAAAUGAUAGCUAUGUGCAGUGAUGGAUAGUGAAUUAGUUUGUGCUGAUUAUUUCACAAUGUGUGUGUGUGUGUAUAUAUAUAUAUAUCAAAACAUCAAGAUGUACACCUUAAAUAUACACAAUUUCCAUAUGUGAAUUAUACCUUAACAAAGCUGGGGAAAAAGAGAGAGCACUCUUUCCCUACUGGUCUCUGAUGCAAAUGGAUGAGGGAAGUUGAACACUUGUCUAGGAUAACUUACGUGCAGUCCUGCCUGUAAGCAGAUGAUGCCUUCAGCUUCGUUGCCGCCGAGGUCCUCCUCGGGUAGGUAAAGGCUGUUCUGAAGCCGGGGCAGUUUUAGGCAUUAUGUGACCCCCUCAACAGACUGUGGGUCAUAGUGAACAGAAGUCAAGGGGGAAAGAUUUCUUCUGCGAGAAACAGCCUCUCCUGAGCCCUGCUAAAGAAAAUAAAACUCUGAACUCCAGGUUUCAGUUCAGUGGUAAUUAGUGAGGACUUCUGCCACAAAGACCUUACUUACCAUGCACCAUUAUAUUAAUCAAGCCUUGAAGUGCCCAAGCCAUGAAUCACCACUGCAUAAUCAAUGCUAAGUUUUUUAACAAAAAUAGCCCUUUCUACACUACACAGGCUUCGCAGAUCUGAACACAGUGACAACUAAAGGGGAGCUUGUGAGAAAUGUGUUCUCAGAUCAAAGCUCAGGAAGCCUAAUAGUGUAACGUUCCAAGAUGCUAAAAAUAUACUGCCACCUAGGGAUGAGUGUCACCUGACCUCACAGCUGAGAUACAAAAGCUGGAGCCCAGUUUAGAAGAUUGUUUUUCAGAUGUCUUGUCUGGCCAUGCUCAUUGGUCUUUGAACACAGAACCAUAUAUAUACACUGGCUGUUGGGAGGAAGCAUCAAUGCGUUUUCAAUGCCAUCUAAAAGGUGUCUCAGAAUAAAAUGUUUUCACUGCCUCAUCGUCAGCUCCAUGUGGUGGCGGUCCACUGUGCAGGGCAGAUGUUCUGCCACGGCUUUCUUUAUCACAAAGGUGUCGGAAGGAGCUUUGUGUCUGCAUAGACCUGGGUUCAAAUCCUGAUUCUAUCAUUUAUUAUGUUAGGGACCUUGAGCAAGUUUCAGAUCAUGAAUAAAGAGUGAGGAAUGUGGAUUGAUAAAGAACAGUGAGGGUGAGUGUAGGAGGCAGAAUAAUGGCCCCCAAAGAUGCCCACAGCCUAAUUCUCAGAACUUGUGAAUAUGUUACUUUACAUGGUAAAAGUAAUUUUCCCGGUGUGAUUAAAUUAAGGAGCUUGAGAUGGAGAAGUUAGCCUAGAUUAGGAUGGAUUCUUAGAAUCAGAGAACGUGUUCUGAUUCAGGUCAAAGUCAGAGAGAUGCGACUAUGGAAUAAUGGUCAGAGAGACGCAAUAUUGCUGGCUUUGAAGAUGGAAGAAAUGGGCUAUGAGCCAAGAGAUUCAGGCGGCCUCUACAACCUGGAAAUAAGGAAGCAGAAUCUCCCUUAGGGCUUCCAAAAAAGGGACACAGCCCUGCCAGCACCUUGAUUUGAGCCCAGGGAGACCUGUGGCAGACUUCUGACCCACAGAACUAUAAAAUUAUCAAUUUGUGCUGUUUCAAACCACCACGUUUGCUGUAAUUUGUUAUGGCAGCAAUAGAAAACUAAUAGAGUAGGUUUUCCCAGUGGAGAGAAUGGAAUAGCCAAAACCAGAGUCAAUUCGACCAUUUAAUGCAGCGCGCAUUUAUUGGAGGCCCACUGCUGACUUGCCAGGCCCUCUUCUAUGAAGGUGAGGAGAUGCUGCUGGUUGUGGCCUGUAUAAAAAACACGCCAAUAGGAGGACUAUGGGAAGUACCCCAAGAAGUACCUACGUGAGGAGAAAGACUGCCUCUGGUUUGGGCACAACUUAAUUCUUCCAAGCCGACUUUGAAGAAGGCAGUGAUGGGUGGGAAGAGUGUGUUGGGGUGGGGACAUAUAGAAGCCCGUGGGACAAGAGGUUCAGGUCAAGGAAGAAAAUAACCUGGUCAGGUCUAGUUGGCUUGGACACGUCAUCAGUGGUUCCCAAAUGCUGAUCCAUGAUGAAAUCUGCACCAGUGUUUUCUCAGAAAUGAGGAAAACAAGAACAAUGUAGUGAGUCCUUUCAUAAAACUAAAUUCAUUCCAUUUAAAUUCCUUACUUUUAUCCUGAGAUUAUUUUGGUAUUUCUAUUUUUUUUGGUAUUAAAAUUCCCUUUAACAAAAUGAUGGUGGGGUGCUUGUUGCCAUUAUUUUUGUUGUUGAAACCUUCUUACCUGGAAGAAUAAAAAGCUGGUAGACCUAUGUUGGUUUUCUCUGUGUGGGUGCUAGGGUGGAGAGGGGGCCCCUGAUCCACGAAAUGUAGAAGUCUGGAAGGCAGAGUGUUAUGGCAAAAGAUGAAUUGGGGGGAAUAAUAGGAGAUAAUGAGAUCCAGCUGGAUAGAUUCAUGCAACGUUAUUGCUGUAGUAGGAGUUUGGGCUUUAAUCUCUUGAGAAUAGAGAGCUGAUGGAUGUAUCAUUCAGUGACAUUCGAUGCUGUGUUCUAGGCAUUGUGUAAGGUGUAGGGAAAUCAUGUGGUGUGAGAUGAGAAUGAGAUUAUAACACACCUUACCUGGCUAGAGUGGUGGUCCAUGGAGGAUAAUAAUCAAAAGACUGUAUUUUUGAGGAUGGGAGGUGGUAUUGAAAGUGUGAUUGGCAGACAGACAGAAAAUUCUAGACAAUGGUUCUAAACCACAGCUGAUUCUCCCCCCAGGUCACAGGGACAUUUGGCAAUGUCUGGAGACCAUUUUGAUUGUCAUCACUGGGGUUGGGGGACUACUGGCAUUUAGUGGGUACAAGCCAUCCCACAAGCACAAGACGUCCCCUCACAACUGAGAAUUAUCAGGCCCCAAAUGUCAAUAAUGCCAAGGCUGAGAAACACUGCUCUACAGGAAGUUGGUUUCAAUACAAUAAAAUAACAGGAACUACUAUGCAUUCUGGGAUGUGGCAUUACAAGAUCAAUACAAUGUUUGAGGAAGGAAGGAAAGGAAAAUUUAUUGACAACUUUCUAUAUGUCAGGUACUCUCAUAUGCAGUAAAUCCUCUUUUACCAUCGCAAUAACCCCGGCUGGGUGUUAGUGUUUUCUCCCUCUUACAAAUGAGGAAACUGAGCGAAGGUUGUGAUUGACUUGCAGUCAGUUAAUGAUCGAGAUCAGAUUUGAACCUAGCCCUGUUCCAUUUAAUCACUCACCAAGGCCAGUUAUUGAUUAUUCCACUUCUGUCCAUCCCCACUGCCACUAUCUUAGUUCAAAGCCGCCGUUAUCUGUUGCCUGGGUUACAGAACGCAACAACCUCCUGCCGGCUUUCCUCUCAUCUCUUCUUCUGACUGUAGUCAGAGGAAGCUGUCUAAAGAGUGCUUCUGACCUCAUUGCUUUCCUGCUUAAAACCCUGUGGUGAGGAGGCACUGGCAGUUUCUCUACUGCACUAUGCUGGUGCUUGUUUUCUUCAUGUCCACAUCCUCCCCACAACUCACCCUCCCCCCAACACACACACACACCCCUGGUAACUCUUGCUCCAGUUCCUUCAGAAGUCACUUGCAGAGGAAGAGCUCCUCUGAUCCUCAAGGCUGAGGUAUGCCCUUUGCGUGUGCUCCCGUGGCCCCUGUGCAUGUCCCAUCAUUGUCUUUAUCACCCUUUGCGUCAGUGUCUCUCUUCUAGUAAAAUGUAAGCAACUUGGGAGCAAGGACAGUAUGAUUCCAAUGUGUCUCCUCAGCACUAGGCAUAUAGGAGGUGCCAAAGGAUACAUGUUGAGUGAAUGACCGCCACCAUCACUCUGUAUGAACACUGAGUUGGGGUCAGUAUUCUCCAGACACAGGAAGGCCACAUAAAAAGGCUUUCUCCCCCUAGGCACAAGGCGAUGAGGAUCUUGAAUAAGGUUUUGACCAUGAGGAAGGAAAGGAAAGAUGUGAAAUACACAAAAGAAACAAAUCUGUAAGGCUUGUUGACAGAUGGCAGUGUGGGAGGAUGGAGGGAGAUUACUGAUAAGGAUUCGUAAGUGAACAAGUAUGUAGGAGCAGGAUGCUCAGGUUGUCAUGAAUGAUAAUAUAGAAGCGUGCUUCUGUCCUGCAAAUUCUCAGUACAUGUUGAAUGAAUAAACUUGGAUGUUUUUCUUUAAGUUUGAGAGCCAUCUAAAUAGAACAUAGAUGGUAUAUUUAAAACCAUAGGAAUAAAUGAGAUCCCCUAGGGAGAAUGCCUAAUAAUGAAAAGGAAUGAGGCUAGGACCAAGCCCAGGGAACACAAACAAUUAUAGGUCAUUAAUGGAGGAGACUGGGAAUGGCACAAAAACCAGCUGAUGCCGAAAGGUAAGAGAAAACCAGCAGAGUGAGAGCAUGCUGUGGAAGCCAGGAGAGGAGAGUGUAGAAGAAAGAAGUGGUCAACUCAGGGCAGUGCUGCUGAGAGGCUGAGUAAGCUAAGGGCGAGAAGUGACUGUUUCACAAAGCUUUCCUUCCUGGCGAGUGGAAGAAGCAGGAGUGUAGCAGACCCUGAGAGGAGCAGAGACGAAUGCUAAAGGGGAAGACAUCUUGGUUUUUUGAGGCCCCAUUUCCAGGACCUGGUCCUGAAGACCUGGCCCUCCUAGUGUUUUCACUCCUUAUAGCACUUUGACUUUGUCUCCCUAAGCAAGAUAAGGCAAUUCAGCUAAUGAAGAAUAAAACCCUCCACUUGUCUGAGCGGUCCUACAGAGCCAGUGAAUGGCUUAUUCAGUAGCUUUAAUGGAUGAGCCAAUGAGGAGUGGUCCCAUCUUCUGAUGAACAGAAGCAGCUGUGGGGAUUGCCAUAAAAAACCUGAGACCUGAUCUCAGAUCCAGGCUGCUCUUUGAGACUCCUAAAUUAGUCCCAUACAGAACUUGCUCUGAUACCCAACCCAAUUGCUGCAUCCUCCCAAAAAUGGCAUCUUGGCUAAGAGACCCUGUCCAGACAAGUCAUGGUCCUCAAUAAGCCAUUACCCUUGCUUCUUCUCCAGACACACCCUUCCCAUGUGGGAGGCUGCUGGAACCACCCAGUGCAUGAAGGAGUGAGGAGACAAUUGAUGAUGUCUCCUUUUUCAUCUACUUUGCUCAGUGCAAGAGCCCUUUAAAAAAUACCUGCUAUUAGGGCUUUUCAAGUCAUUCAACCGACAAAAGGAAGUGAAGAACAGAAUUGUCUGAUUUUAAUUCUCCCAGCUGACCUAGGUGCCAUUCAGAGCAAAUGGAAGUAGUGUGUUAUAAUUCAAAUGCUGAUGGUCAUAAAACAUCACUAAUGACUAGAAUUCAGUCCCUUUCCAAUGAAUUUUAAGACCCCAUUUUUGGUGAAUGAAAGUAACUCAAAUAUUAAACUCCCAUUUAUAGGUUUUGGGGAAAUUUUGUAUGGCUCCAAGGUCGUCUCGGAAUAUAAGCUAACCAUGUACACACGUCACUUUGUGUAAGAAGUGGUGAUUAGGCAAGCAACCACGAGAUUAUAAGUUGCCUUCACAAAGACAGAAAUUUGGAAUGUUAUAGGGUCAGAUGCAUUUUGAUGGGACAUCUGUUGUUCUCUCCCUCAGAAAUAUAACAUUUUAUUUUUCCAUUAACCCCAAGCCCUGAAGUCAUUUCUCUCUCAGUUUUUUCUAGGACAACCAGGAGUUUUAGCCGAGAAAUGAUGGAUGAGAGCAGUUCGGCAUCAGUGAUGGGGGCUCUUGACAAAGACAAAAACAGCCUCCCCACUCAGUUCCCCUCCACUCCAUCCUUCAUACUGCAUCUCUAUCUCAAAGACGAUUUCUGAGGGAAAGAGGUGUUUUUAUGUGGGAAGUGGAAAAUGAUUUGUGGAGUAGGAGCAUGCAAUUGCGGAAUUCUUUAAAAUGACAGGUCCUCUUCCUGCACCCUCACCAGAAAGGGAGCUGUUGUUAUAAAGCAGACUCUGAAGAAAUGGAGUAUCUUUUAGCCUUUUGAAAAGACGUCUGUCUUAAUUGAGGACAACAUCAUUUAAGCCUCAAAUUUACGAUUUCUGAAUUAGGUGCAUUAGAUAAAACCUGACAAUCCAUUGGGAUCUAUACCAAUAUGGACACUGCCUCAUCUUAUCUUGAAUUCAAGCAUCUGUCUCCUUUUCCCCCCAGUAAGCUCUCAAAUCAUUUUUAUCUUUGAAAGUUGUCCGAUUCCUUCUUUUGUUUGAUUAGGGCCAAAUAAAUAAUAUGCAAAUCAUUCCCACUUACACCAUUUCUGUAAACAUACAUUCUCCACAAUCAUUACCUUGUCACCCUCGUCUUGCUCUGACUUUAUUUGUCACUGAAGAGCAAGAUAAGAUACCGAAUAAGUUUCACCAAGUGGUGUCAGCCCAGCUCAGCUCUGAGCUUUUCCCCUCAAUGACCUGCUCUGGCCCUCCUCUCUAAUGCUUGCCCCUGCCACUUCCCAUCUCAUGGACUCACUCCCUGGAUGCUUGCACGAAUUUAGUACUGGCCUCCAGGGAAUUACCCACAUCUUGUUACCAGUCAGCUGGUUUGCAGCUUUGCCUGCUUGCUCUGAAUAGGGCGUGAAGAGGGGUUCUAAUCUUCCCAGGGCUGUCCUCCAGGUGAAUUUGAUCUGCUUGGCUCCAGUAGAGUACGGCGUAAGCCACCUGCCCUCUGGUGGUUGUGGACAGCUCCCAGAGAUGCUCCUGUGCCAGGGGACUUAGUUUAGCCAUUGCAUCCUUCCAACCAGCAGCUCCUUCCUACCACCCUCCGAAGGGCCCCAUAACUGGAGCUCGCUGCUUCAGCAAAUCCGUUUGAGGAGUCUAAGAGCAAGAAAACGACUCUGUCAGUCUUCCUGGGUCAGCCCCCUGCCUCCACCAGGCCUGCUUCCAAUGGGCAUUGCAAACUGAAAAGUGCCCAACAGCCAAGCACUUCUCUUUGACAUUGAAAAGACAAGCGUUUUCCUUUCUUUCUCAGCAUGUGUGAAAAUCUUCAGACGCCAAACUUGGAAGGGUUGUUGGUUACUUAUGAGCCCGCUGUGAGCUAAAAAUCUUACCAAGGAUAGUUCACGCACACACACACAAAA